CAAUAAUAGCAACGAUGAUAACUAGCGCCUGAACUUGUUGUUCCAAAGUGCCUGACAUGAAUGGAAUCAUAUAAACCUCAACUCAACCCAAUGGAAUUAGCAUGUUGUUACCGUGACGGUUUCCACAUGUGGAAACUGAAGCACAGAGACAUUAAGUAAUUUUCUUAAGGUUCAAAACAAUACAUCAGAGGAAAAAGAAAAGGGUGCCAAAAAAGGAAUAGAGAAAAAGAGCCUUGAGAAAUUGAAAAUAUUAUUGCCAAAAUUUUAAAAAUCUAUUUAAACAUUGAAAGCAAUCUCCUAGAGUGUAAGAUGAAAAUACAAAGAGUUGGUAAAUGUGAGCACAAGGAUAAAAGACAUGGAGGAAUGAUGGAAGAAAUCCAACACCUGGCUAGGAAGAUUUCACAAAAAAGGCAAUUGAAACGAAGAGAUAGAUAGAAAUGAUCAAAGAAAUAAUAGAAGGGAAUUUCCCAAAAUGUACCUUUAUAUUUAAAGUGCCUACCAAGUGUGGAACAGGAUGAAAAAGACACCCACUCAGUCACAUCUUAGUGACACAUCAGGACACUGAGGAUAAAGAGAAGAUCCUGAAACUUCCAGAGAGGGAGAAAGGUCACCGAUAAAAGAAACAACGUC
Molecule: long non-coding RNA, 630 nt
Filed under: Pan troglodytes (chimpanzee)
Lineage: Eukaryota; Metazoa; Chordata; Mammalia; Primates; Hominidae
Description: long non-coding RNA NONPTRT003626
Source: RNAcentral